RNAcentral lists this non-coding RNA (142 nucleotides) under Entomoneis paludosa. Lineage: Eukaryota; Bacillariophyta; Bacillariophyceae; Surirellales; Surirellaceae. The record is from RNAcentral.
GGGUAAGCUUGUUCACAUGGUGCACCUUCUCUCACCACCUUCUUUGCACAAAAAGAUGAUUGAUAUCGAAGCCAACCGACCGGAAGCCAAGGCGCUUUUGCUGUCUGAAGUUGAACCGAAAUCAUGACAUGACACUCUUCUU